This is a long non-coding RNA of Mesocricetus auratus (golden hamster), 561 nucleotides long. RefSeq lists it as uncharacterized. The record is from RefSeq and is a predicted model, not a curated record. NCBI's taxonomy places the organism in Eukaryota, Metazoa, Chordata, Mammalia, Rodentia, Cricetidae. The transcript is spliced from 3 exons.
CGUCGUGUGGCAUGUCAAAGUGCUGCCAAUGAAAAGACGCGGGUCGUCAUCGGGAGGCUUCACGUAAACGCACCGUGCAAUGGCAGGGCCAUGAGGCAAGGCACACAACUCAGAGAGAGUGAGCCACGCUAGCCAAAGGCUGUCAUUCAUAGCGUCCUGACUACUAGCAGUCACUCUAGGCACCGAGAGUACACUGAGUUGCAAUUCCUUUAAAAGCUGAAACUCGUAAUGCUACAAUGAUCAGAUAGCACAUGAGGCACAGGGAUUCACCCAAGGAUGUCUGAAACUCCUUGAGAGAACACGUUAAGGACUCAGGGACCUGAGUUGUCUUCUCCACUCUGGCCUCUACUGACCCUUCCUUGCUACGGAAUUAUUCCAGCCUCCACUGUUUGCUUGGAAUGAAUAUAACAUUAAAAUGGAAACCUGGACUCUGUCCAAUGUUAGCUUGUGCCAGCUGAAACUGUAUCAACGGGAGAAAAACGAUGCUGUAAUUUUCUUGUCUGGCAAAAUGUGGUAAGAAAUCCAUGCAGAAAAUGCAGUAAUAUUCAUUAAAAUGAAGAA